CAGUUAGAAAUGACUGCUAAUACCGUAUGAUGACUCCGGUCCAAAGAUUUAUCGCCUAGGGAUGAGCCCGCGUCGGAUUAGCUAGUUGGUGAGGUAAAGGCUCACCAAGGCGACGAUCCGUAGCUGGUCUGAGAGGAUGAUCAGCCACACUGGGACUGAGACACGGCCCAGACUCCUACGGGAGGCAGCAGUGGGGAAUAUUGGACAAUGGGCGAAAGCCUGAUCCAGCAAUGCCGCGUGAGUGAAGAAGGCCUUAGGGUUGUAAAGCUCUUUUACCCGGGAAGAUAAUGACUGUACCGGGAGAAUAAGCUCCGGCUAACUCCGUGCCAGCAGCCGCGGUAAUACGGAGGGAGCUAGCGUUGUUCGGAAUCACUGGGCGUAAAGCGCACGUAGGCGGCUUUGUAAGUUAGAGGUGAAAGCCCGGGGCUCAACUCCGGAACUGCCUUUAAGACUGCAUCGCUUGAAUCUGGGAGAGGUAAGUGGAAUUCCGAGUGUAGAGGUGAAAUUCGUAGAUAUUCGGAAGAACACCAGUGGCGAAGGCGGCUUACUGGACCAGAAUUGACGCUGAGGUGCGAAAGCGUGGGGAGCAA
RNAcentral lists this ribosomal RNA (590 nucleotides) under Sphingosinicella microcystinivorans. RNAcentral describes it as "bacterial SSU rRNA". It matches the Rfam family "Bacterial small subunit ribosomal RNA", at positions 147 to 771 of the family's 1533-position model. Lineage: Bacteria; Pseudomonadati; Pseudomonadota; Alphaproteobacteria; Sphingomonadales; Sphingosinicellaceae. RNAcentral also lists the same sequence under 1 other name. The record is from RNAcentral.